UGGCGGACGGGUGAGUAACGCGUGGGUAACCUGCCCUGUACAGGGGGAUAACAGUUAGAAAUGACUGCUAACACCGCAUAAGCGCACGGUAAGGCAUCUUAGUGUGUGAAAAUAUUAAUAGGUACAGGAUGGGCCCGCGUCUGAUUAGCCAGUUGGCAGGGUAACGGCCUACCAAAGCGACGAUCAGUAGCCGGCUUGAGAGAGUGAACGGCCACAUUGGGACUGAGACACGGACCAAACUCCUACGGAAGGCAGCAG
RNAcentral lists this ribosomal RNA (258 nucleotides) under uncultured bacterium. RNAcentral's name for it is "partial 16S ribosomal RNA". It matches the Rfam family "Bacterial small subunit ribosomal RNA", at positions 96 to 354 of the family's 1533-position model. The record is from RNAcentral.